ACCCCCCACANGGAUNNNGAGACACGGAUCCGACUCNUACGGGAGGCAGCAGUAAGGAAUAUUGGACAAUGCCCGCAAGGGUGAUCCAGCCAUGCCGCGUGCAGGAAGACGGCCCUAUGGGNNGUAAANUGCUUUUACACCGGAGAAAACCUUCCCUCGUGAGGGGAGCUNANNGUAUGGUGAGAAUAAGCAUCGGCUAACUUCGUGCCAGCAGCCGCGGUAAUACGAAGGAUGCAAGCGUUAUCCGGAUUCAUUGGGUUUAAAGGGAGCGUAGGUGGCCUUAUAAGUCAGNGGUGAAAUCUCUGGGCUUAACCCAGAAAUUGCCAUUGAUACUGUAGGGCUUGAGUAUAGUUGCCGUUGGCGGAAUAUGACAUGUAGUGGUGAAAUACAUAGAGAUGUCAUAGAACACCGAUUGCGAAGGCAGCUGACGAAACUAUAACUGACACUGAGGCUCGAAAGUGCGGGGAUCAAACAGGAUUAGAUACCCUGGUAGUCCGCACUGUAAACGAUGAUUACUCGCUGCUAGAGGGCAACUUUUAGUGGCUUAGCGAAAGCGAUAAGUAAUCCACCUGGGGAGUACGCCGGCA
Molecule: ribosomal RNA, 587 nt
Filed under: uncultured bacterium
Lineage: Bacteria
Description: partial 16S ribosomal RNA
Rfam family: Bacterial small subunit ribosomal RNA
Source: RNAcentral